AUACUGACCCGGCAGGGGAGACACCGUGAUCCGGAGGGUGGUUUUCCCAGGGCGAGGCUGACCCGUUGCACUCCGGAGUGCCGACCCCUGAGACUUCCCCAGGUGUGGGAAACUUCACUGCGUCAUGUGUGGUAGUGGGGGCUGCGUUCACGCUCUCCCCUG
Molecule: small nuclear RNA, 162 nt
Organism: Phyllostomus discolor (pale spear-nosed bat)
Lineage: Eukaryota; Metazoa; Chordata; Mammalia; Chiroptera; Phyllostomidae
Product: U1 spliceosomal RNA
Exons: 1
Source: RefSeq, a predicted model, not a curated record